AACGAACGCUGGCGGCAUGCCUAACACAUGCAAGUCGAACGAGACCUUCGGGUCUUGUGGCGCACGGGUGCGUCACGCGUGGGAACCUUCCCUUAGGUUCGGCCUAACUCUCCGACAGGGGUGCUAAUACCGGUUAAUGUCUUCGGCCCAAAGAUUUAUCGCCGUUGGAUGGGCCCGCGUUGGAUUAGCUGGUUGUUAGGGUAAAAGCAUACUACGGCGCCAAUCCAUAGCUGGUCUGAGAGGAUGAUCAGCCACACUGGGACUGAGACACGGCCCAGACUCUUACGGGAGGCAGCAGUGGGGAAUAUUGGACAGUGGGCGAAAGCCUGAUCCAGCAAGGCCGCGUGAGUGAUGAAGGCAUUAAGGUUGUAAAGCUCUUUUACCCGGGAUGAUAAUGACAGUACCGGGAGAAAAAGCUCCGGCUAACUACGUG
RNAcentral lists this ribosomal RNA (433 nucleotides) under uncultured bacterium. RNAcentral's name for it is "partial 16S ribosomal RNA". It matches the Rfam family "Bacterial small subunit ribosomal RNA", at positions 29 to 507 of the family's 1533-position model. The record is from RNAcentral.